This 468-nucleotide ribosomal RNA is filed under the name uncultured bacterium. Its description in RNAcentral is "partial 16S ribosomal RNA". It matches the Rfam family "Bacterial small subunit ribosomal RNA", at positions 28 to 507 of the family's 1533-position model. The record is from RNAcentral.
GACGAACGCUGGCGGCGUGCUUAACACAUGCAAGUCGAACGGAAAGGCACUGCUUUUGUGGGGUGCUCGAGUGGCGAACGGGUGAGUAACACGUGAGUAACCUGCCCUUGACUUUGGGAUAACUUCAGGAAACUGGGGCUAAUACCGGAUAGGAGCUCCUGCUGCAUGGUGGGGGUUGGAAAGUUUCGGCGGUUGGGGAUGGACUCGCGGCUUAUCAGCUUGUUGGUGGGGUAGUGGCUUACCAAGGCUUUGACGGGUAGCCGGCCUGGGAGGGUGACCGGCCACAUUGGGACUGAGAUACGGCCCAGACUCCUACGGGAGGCAGCAGUGGGGAAUAUUGCACAAUGGGCGGAAGCCUGAUGCAGCAACGCCGCGUGCGGGAUGACGGCCUUCGGGUUGUAAACCGCUGUCGCCUGUGACGAAGCGUGAGUGACGGUAAUGGGUAAAGAAGCACCGGCUAACUACGUG